AGAGUUUGAUCCUGGCUCAGGACGAACGCUGGCGGCGUGCCUAAUACAUGCAAGUCGAACGCUUCUUUUUCCACCGGAGCUUGCUCCACCGGAAAAAGAGGAGUGGCGAACGGGUGAGUAACACGUGGGUAACCUGCCCAUCAGAAGGGGAUAACACUUGGAAACAGGUGCUAAUACCGUAUAACAAUCGAAACCGCAUGGUUUUGAUUUGAAAGGCGCUUUCGGGUGUCGCUGAUGGAUGGACCCGCGGUGCAUUAGCUAGUUGGUGAGGUAACGGCUCACCAAGGCCACGAUGCAUAGCCGACCUGAGAGGGUGAUCGGCCACAUUGGGACUGAGACACGGCCCAAACUCCUACGGGAGGCAGCAGUAGGGAAUCUUCGGCAAUGGACGAAAGUCUGACCGAGCAACGCCGCGUGAGUGAAGAAGGUUUUCGGAUCGUAAAACUCUGUUGUUAGAGAAGAACAAGGAUGAGAGUAACUGUUCAUCCCUUGACGGUAUUUAACCAGAAAGCCACGGCUAACUACGUGCCAGCAGCCGCGGUAAUACGUAGGUGGCAAGCGUUGUCCGGAUUUAUUGGGCGUAAAGCGAGCGCAGGCGGUUUCUUAAGUCUGAUGUGAAAGCCCCCGGCUCAACCGGGGAGGGUCAUUGGAAACUGGGAGACUUGAGUGCAGAAGAGGAGAGUGGAAUUCCAUGUGUAGCGGUGAAAUGCGUAGAUAUAUGGAGGAACACCAGUGGCGAAGGCGGCUCUCUGGUCUGUAACUGACGCUGAGGCUCGAAAGCGUGGGGAGCAAACAGGAUUAGAUACCCUGGUAGUCCACGCCGUAAACGAUGAGUGCUAAGUGUUGGAGGGUUUCCGCCCUUCAGUGCUGCAGCUAACGCAUUAAGCACUCCGCCUGGGGAGUACGACCGCAAGGUUGAAACUCAAAGGAAUUGACGGGGGCCCGCACAAGCGGUGGAGCAUGUGGUUUAAUUCGAAGCAACGCGAAGAACCUUACCAGGUCUUGACAUCCUUUGACCACUCUAGAGAUAGAGCUUCCCCUUCGGGGGCAAAGUGACAGGUGGUGCAUGGUUGUCGUCAGCUCGUGUCGUGAGAUGUUGGGUUAAGUCCCGCAACGAGCGCAACCCUUAUUGUUAGUUGCCAUCAUUCAGUUGGGCACUCUA
Molecule: ribosomal RNA, 1162 nt
Filed under: Enterococcus faecium EnGen0024
Lineage: Bacteria; Bacillati; Bacillota; Bacilli; Lactobacillales; Enterococcaceae
Description: bacterial SSU rRNA
Rfam family: Bacterial small subunit ribosomal RNA
Source: RNAcentral